CCUACGGGAGGCAGCAGUGAGGAAUAUUGGUCAAUGGACGAGAGUCUGAACCAGCCAAGUAGCGUGAAGGAUGACUGCCCUAUGGGUUGUAAACUUCUUUUAUAUGGGAAUAAAAUGUUCCACGUGUGGGAUUUUGUAUGUACCAUAUGAAUAAGGAUCGGCUAACUCCGCACCAGCAGCCGCGGUAAUACGGAGGAUCCGAGCGUUAUCCGGAUUUAUUGGGUUUAAAGGAGCGUAGGUGGAUUGUUAAGUCAGUUGUGAAAGUUUGCGGCUCAACCGUAAAAUUGCAGUUGAAACUGGCAGUCUUGAGUACAGUAGAGGUGGGCGGAAUUCGUGGUGUAGCGGUGAAAUGCUUAGAUAUCACGAAGAACUCCGAUUGCGAAGGCAGUUCACUGGACUGCAACUGACACUGAGGCUCGAAAGUGUGGGUAUCAAACAGGAUUAGAUACCCGGGUAGUC
This 459-nucleotide ribosomal RNA is filed under the name uncultured bacterium. RNAcentral describes it as "partial 16S ribosomal RNA". It matches the Rfam family "Bacterial small subunit ribosomal RNA", at positions 338 to 795 of the family's 1533-position model. The record is from RNAcentral.